RNAcentral lists this ribosomal RNA (384 nucleotides) under Hexophthalma goanikontesensis. RNAcentral's name for it is "partial 16S ribosomal RNA". It matches the Rfam family "Archaeal large subunit ribosomal RNA", at positions 2026 to 2676 of the family's 2987-position model. The record is from RNAcentral. Lineage: Eukaryota; Metazoa; Arthropoda; Arachnida; Araneae; Sicariidae.
UGCUAAGGUAGCACAAUAAAUUGCCUUUUAAUUAAAGGAUAGAAUGAAAGGACUAACGUCUUAAUAAUUUUAUCAUUUAUAUCUAAUAAAAUUUACCUAAAUGUAAAAAGGCAUUUAUAAAACAAAAAGACAAAAAGACCCUACCGAACUUAAUUUUCUUAAUUAGACUGGGGUGGUCCAUAAUUAAAACUUAAACUAAAACCAAAAUAAAGACCUUAUAUAAUAAAUCAUAAGAACAAGUUACCGUAGGGAUAACAGCGUUACAGAUUUAUAAAGAUCUUAUAAAAAAUUCUCCCUGCGACCUCGAUGUUGAAUUAAAAUAACUUUCCUGAGUAACAACAGAAAAAGUAGGUCUGUUCGACCUUUAAAAUUUUACAUGAUCUG